CUCCCUAACUUUUGCCUCCUGAACUGCAUUGUAAAAAUAAAAAAGAGAGAACCACAUGAGACAAUAAUGUAAGACGUAUGUGUAUAUUGUAAAAAAACCAAAAACAAAAAUAGAGAGAGUUCAGCAAUCCAAGGAGGUGAUUCUUUCAACAUAUUACUUGCAAAUAACCACCGUCAUCAAACAUACCACUAUAGUUCAAUGUUUCCCUGAUCAAUGUAAUAACAUUUUAAUUUUAGACAAUCAUGUCACUGUUCAUUGGAUAUUUGUUUUACAUCAAGUGUUGGAGAAUAAUCUGAGUAAUUUUGGGCUGUUGCAUUUUCAGUUAUAAAUGGACCAACAGCUACUCUUGUGUCUUUGUUACAUAAGGUUCCCUUGGUAGAACAUCAUGUUUUGUAUCCAUUGCAGCCUAGUCUAAUGAGAUGUGCAGAACACUUCAGAUAUUUUGAUUUAGAGAGGGUUUUGGGGCUUUUCAAUUAUAGUAGAGUUUCACUUAUCCAACAUAAACAGACCGGCAGAACAUUGGAUACAUGAAAAUGUUGGAUAAUAAGGAGGGAUGAAGGAAAAGCCUAUUAAACAUCAUAUUACAUUAUGCUUUUACAAAUUAAGCACCAAAACAUCAUGUUUUACAACAAACUGACAGAAAAAGCAGUUCAAUAUAUGUAACAUUCUGUAGUAAUUACUGUAUUUACAAAUUUAGUACCAAAACAUUGCAAUAUAUUGAAAAUACUGACUAAAAAAACAUUGACUACUGAAAAGGCAGACUGCGUUGGAUAAUACAGAACAUUGGAUGAGCAAAGGUUGAAUAAGCAAAAUUUUUCUUCCUUUCUAUUUAUGUUUUUAAAUUGUUUUGUUUAAUAUUUUUCCCAAGGAAGAACAGUUGGAUUUUAAACAUUGUUCACAACUUUGUGAUGUUUGCAUUAAUUCUAUUGUUUUUAAGUCCCGUCCUUCCAUCCCGCCAACCAUCACAAAUUGAUUCUUUACUUUUUAUUUCCGCUGUGGUUUAGGACUAUUUUAUGGGUAUGAUUUCUAUCUGAAAAUGCUAAAUGGUGAAGAAAUGAAGAUAAUACACACACCAUGAAACUAAUUAACAUCCAAGUCCAGCCAAGUUUCAUCAAAGAAC
RNAcentral lists this long non-coding RNA (1120 nucleotides) under Anolis carolinensis (green anole). RNAcentral's name for it is "lncRNA (ENSACAG00000038321.1)". The record is from RNAcentral. Lineage: Eukaryota; Metazoa; Chordata; Lepidosauria; Squamata; Anolidae.